Molecule: unclassified non-coding RNA, 610 nt
Filed under: Hevea brasiliensis (rubber tree)
Lineage: Eukaryota; Viridiplantae; Streptophyta; Magnoliopsida; Malpighiales; Euphorbiaceae
Source: RNAcentral
UUUUUUUUUUUUUUUUUCCCCUUUAUUUUCUAUUGUUAUGAUUUGUGCGAGAUGAGGGCAGAGGAGGAGAGGAAAGGAGAGUGCCGAUGGCUUCACGCGAUGGUUGCUGCUGUGCUGACCACGCGUUUAAUUAUUUGCACACAACAUGCAUGAAGGUAGGAGAUGGACUUGAACUUCAUCCUAUGUUGGAAUUUGAACAGAUUAACAUUAAUACUGUGUUAUUGUAAUUAGUGCUACGAAACGCAGCGGUAGCGAGACCCAACAAGUGGUUUUCUCUCAAGUAGGUUAGAGAGAGAGAUUCUUUCGUCCUAUGUUGAGUUUCCUUCUUCUUCUUCUUCCUUUUUUUACUUUUUUUUUUUGGUCUUAUGAUGAUGUUCGUCCUGUACAAUUCAUACCACACCAGAACAAGAACGAACAACAUGAUUAACUCUCAGUGUUCAGAAAGGAUACACAAAACUUUUGACUUGUGUUGUCUCUACUCUGUGAUAGAAAUGCAUUCUUUAUGAGUGCAGUUUAUUUAUUUUAUCUAGUGCCUUUUUUUCUAAUUACGAGAAAAUAAUGGUGUUUUGAGUUUUUUUUUUUUUGUGUCACGUGAUGAAUUGUCUUGAAU